This is a long non-coding RNA of Anopheles merus, 579 nucleotides long. RefSeq lists it as uncharacterized. The record is from RefSeq and is a predicted model, not a curated record. The transcript is spliced from 3 exons. Lineage: Eukaryota; Metazoa; Arthropoda; Insecta; Diptera; Culicidae.
UCAAAGAAUGACAUGUUUCCUUCUGUUAGAAAUGCUAUUAGAAAAGCCGUAUCCCAAAAGCUGAAAAUUAAAAACAUUUAAAAACGCUUUUCAAAUGAAAGCUGACGACCUAAAAAGGGCAAUACCGCUGACAUACUUCCGAGCGCUUCUAUUUUUGGUGGAAAUAAUCGCCCACACCACCAACGUGUGAUUGAUAAGAGGCUGUAUGAAUUGUGUUUUCUCCGCGCCUAAAAUUAGGUCAAAACGCACCCGCACAAAUCACGCAAUGAGCCACACUGCUGACUUCAAUCUGAUUGCUUCCGAGCUACUGCUGCUGGUGUUCUCGCGUUCUCAAUUUCGAAUUAUUAUGUGCCUACGGAGGCAAAUGUUGGUUACGGUAUGAUUUCUCUACUUGCCGCGACCCGCAUCCCGCUAGCCGUUCUGGGAAUUUCGCGCGCCCCACGGAGCCCCGCAGCCACCAAUGCCGCCAGAUCGUGAUUAUCUAAUGCGUUCGGUUGGCGGUUGUUUUCCACAUUAAAACUAGCGCUACGAUUGUUAGUCGCGGCGGGAUGCAGCAUAUAUUUGUGUAAAUAGGUUAAC